CGCUCCUCGAUACCUUUAUAAUGGGGAGUACUGCCUGCCCAAUGAAAGAAAUAUUUAAAUGGCCGCGUUAUUCUGAGCGUGCUAAGGUAGCGUAAUAAUUAGCCUCUUAAUUGGAGGCCAGUGAAAGGCAAGACGAGGGUAGAACUAUCUCAAGCUAUGUUGGUAAAAAUUUUACUCCCAGUGAAAAUUCUGGGAUAAUAGAGAAAGACGAAAAGACCCCGUGGAGCUUUAUUCUCACCAGCUUAUUUAGUAUUGAAACUUAUAAUUAAGCUAAGAAUUUGGUUGGGGCAACCGCGGAGCAAUUAAAACCUCCGUUAUCUAGCAUCAAUUAUUCAUCCUAAAUCUAGAAAAAAUGUCAGCUACCCCGGGGAUAACAGCGUAAUCCAACUUUAGAGCUCUUAUCGAAAGUUGGGCUUGCGACCUCGAUGUUGGACCAGGGAUACUGUGAGGUGCAGAAGCUUCUCAAGUCAGUCUGUUCGACUGUUAAACCCCUACA
This 496-nucleotide ribosomal RNA is filed under the name Neotrigonia margaritacea. Its description in RNAcentral is "partial 16S ribosomal RNA". It matches the Rfam family "Bacterial large subunit ribosomal RNA", at positions 1817 to 2600 of the family's 2925-position model. Lineage: Eukaryota; Metazoa; Mollusca; Bivalvia; Trigoniida; Trigoniidae. The record is from RNAcentral.